CCUAGGGAGGCUGCAGUGGGGAAUAUUGGACAAUGGGGGCAACCCUGAUCCAGCCAUGCCGCGUGUGUGAAGAAGGCCCUCGGGUUGUAAAGCACUUUCAGUGAGGAAGAACGCCUGGUGGUUAAUACCCAUCAGGAAAGACAUCACUCACAGAAGAAGCACCGGCUAACUCCGUGCCAGCAGCCGCGGUAAUACGGAGGGUGCGAGCGUUAAUCGGAAUUACUGGGCGUAAAGCGCGCGUAGGUGGCUUGAUAAGCCGGUUGUGAAAGCCCCGGGCUCAACCUGGGAACGGCAUCCGGAACUGUCAAGCUAGAGUGCAGGAGAGGAAGGUAGAAUUCCCGGUGUAGCGGUGAAAUGCGUAGAGAUCGGGAGGAAUACCAGUGGCGAAGGCGGCCUUCUGGACUGACACUGACACUGAGGUGCGAAAGCGUGGGUAGCAAACAGGAUUAGAUACCCCUGUAGUC
This 464-nucleotide ribosomal RNA is filed under the name Vreelandella stevensii. RNAcentral describes it as "partial 16S ribosomal RNA". It matches the Rfam family "Bacterial small subunit ribosomal RNA", at positions 338 to 795 of the family's 1533-position model. Lineage: Bacteria; Pseudomonadati; Pseudomonadota; Gammaproteobacteria; Oceanospirillales; Halomonadaceae. The record is from RNAcentral.